RNAcentral lists this ribosomal RNA (500 nucleotides) under uncultured bacterium. Its description in RNAcentral is "partial 16S ribosomal RNA". It matches the Rfam family "Bacterial small subunit ribosomal RNA", at positions 30 to 523 of the family's 1533-position model. The record is from RNAcentral.
AUUGAACGCUGGCGGCAGGCCUAACACAUGCAAGUCGAGCGGAUGAGAGGAGCUUGCUCUUUGAUUCAGCGGCGGACGGGUGAGUAAUGCCUAGGAAUCUGCCUGGUAGUGGGGGAGAACGUUUCGAAAGGAACGCUAAUACCGCAUACGUCCUACGGGAGAAAGUGGGGGAUCUUCGGACCUCACGCUAUCAGAUGAGCCUAGGUCGGAUUAGCUAGUUGGGGAGGUAAUGGCUCACCAAGGCGACGAUCCGUAACUGGUCUGAGAGGAUGAUCAGUCACACUGGAACUGAGACACGGUCCAGACUCCUACGGGAGGCAGCAGUGGGGAAUAUUGGACAAUGGGCGCAAGCCUGAUCCAGCCAUGCCGCGUGUGUGAAGAAGGUCUUCGGAUUGUAAAGCACUUUAAGUUGGGAGGAAGGGCAGUAACUUAAUACGUUGCUGUUUUGACGUUACCGACAGAAUAAGCACCGGCUAACUCUGUGCCAGCCGCCGCGGUAA